This 253-nucleotide ribosomal RNA is filed under the name uncultured bacterium. RNAcentral describes it as "partial 16S ribosomal RNA". It matches the Rfam family "Bacterial small subunit ribosomal RNA", at positions 524 to 776 of the family's 1533-position model. The record is from RNAcentral.
UACGUAGGGUGCAAGCGUUGUCCGGAAUUAUUGGGCGUAAAGAGCUCGUAGGUGGCCUGUCGCGUCGGCUGUGAAAACUCGGGGCUCAACUCCGAGCUUGCAGUCGAUACGGGCAGGCUAGAGUUCGGCAGGGGAGACUGGAAUUCCUGGUGUAGCGGUGAAAUGCGCAGAUAUCAGGAGGAACACCGGUGGCGAAGGCGGGUCUCUGGGCCGAUACUGACACUGAGGGAGCGAAAGCGUGGGAGCGAACAGG